This 116-nucleotide ribosomal RNA is filed under the name uncultured bacterium. RNAcentral's name for it is "partial 16S ribosomal RNA". It matches the Rfam family "Bacterial small subunit ribosomal RNA", at positions 1369 to 1482 of the family's 1533-position model. The record is from RNAcentral.
CGUUCCCGGGCCUUGUACACACCGCCCGUCACACCAUGGGAGUUGGUUUUACCUUAAGACGGUGUGCUAACCCGCAAGGGGGGCAGCCGGCCACGGUAAGGUCAGCGACUGGGGUG